UGGGCUGUUUAUGGAUGUCAACACACCAUGGAGGAACGUUGACUAUGUGUUGUUCCCAAUUCAUAUGUCAUCACCGGACCAUUGGUUGUUGUUGUCUUUUGAUGUGCAUCGUAGGUGUCUAACUAUUUACAAUUCUCUACAACCAAAAAGGAAAUCCAUGCAAACUAAAAUAUUUGAUGUUUAUGAGCCGUACAUCUUCAUUCUUCCCAUACUACUGCGCAAGUCUGGUUUUUGAAAGGAUAGGUCUGACAUUGACUUCAGCAGUGACCCGUAUCGCAACAAGGACGAAGACGAUAUAAUUGAGUUGGAAUUUGCUGAGACGGUUCCUGAACAAGUAGAGGGGUAACGGUUAAAUUGUGUACAUUUUUUUAAUUAUUACAUAUAGGUUGAUUUUAUUUUUGAUUUUUGUUAUAUAUUGUUUGUUGUUACAGUGAUUGUGGGAUGUUCACAAUUUAUU
RNAcentral lists this long non-coding RNA (457 nucleotides) under Panax ginseng (ginseng). RNAcentral describes it as "long non-coding RNA (PGIN_LNC018730)". The record is from RNAcentral. Lineage: Eukaryota; Viridiplantae; Streptophyta; Magnoliopsida; Apiales; Araliaceae.